This 253-nucleotide ribosomal RNA is filed under the name uncultured bacterium. RNAcentral's name for it is "partial 16S ribosomal RNA". It matches the Rfam family "Bacterial small subunit ribosomal RNA", at positions 524 to 776 of the family's 1533-position model. The record is from RNAcentral.
UACAGAGGUCUCAAGCGUUGUUCGGAUUCAUUGGGCGUAAAGGGUGCGUAGGUGGCGAGGUAAGUCGGAUGUGAAAUCCCGGGGCUCAACCCUGGAACUGCAUUCGAUACUGCCUGGCUAGAGUACUGGAGAGGAGAUUGGAAUUUACGGUGUAGCAGUGAAAUGCGUAGAUAUCGUAAGGAAGACCAGUGGCGAAGGCGGAUCUCUGGACAGUUACUGACACUGAGGAGCGAAAGCGUGGGGAGCGAACAGG